UGGGCGGUAGCCAAAUUGGCAAGGCAUCAGGUUUUGGUCCUGACAUUGUGGUGGUUCGAGUCCACCCCGCCCAGCCA
This 77-nucleotide transfer RNA is filed under the name bacterium. RNAcentral's name for it is "tRNA-Gln". It matches the Rfam family "tRNA". From Rfam's summary of the family: Transfer RNA (tRNA) molecules are approximately 80 nucleotides in length. RNAcentral also lists the same sequence under 1 other name. The record is from RNAcentral.